CAACCGCCUUUCAACUCCGUUCUCCGCCGUGUAAACGCCCAUCGUACUCCACACCACACUCUCCAACACCUCCCGUCGCCCACCUCCAGCUUCACAUCCACCGAUUCCUUUAUGUACUUCUCUCCAAAUCUCCUCGGAAGGUCUCAUUGUCACCAUGAAUGAAGGAUUAUUCCUCCUCGAUUUGAACCAGCUCGCUCUCUUUUUAACUGCUAGUUGAUUCUCCGUCAAUGCCGGUGGCGUCUUCCUUGGAUUCAUCGGUCUCAUCGAUUCCGGACUGACUCGGCCAUCGUCUCCCUCAUUAUACACUGAAAUCGAUGAAAGAAGGAUUCAAAGUCAUGGAUUGAAAUCUGUUAGCUUCCGCCAUCGCCCUUGCUUGCUGGCUCCCCGUCGACGGCGGCCUCCACCUGCUGUUCGUCGGUUUCUUCACCCCAGAGCUAAGAUCACCAUCCUUGAAAUCUAUGAAAUAAAAGCUAGGUAAUAAAUAAAUAGUGCAAAGCAUGCAUGGAAAAACAUAUAUACCUUAGGUAAACAAUUAAAAAAAAGGUGGUCUUAGGCAAAGAAACAUACCUAGGUCAAGACAAUCAUCAUCAAAAUAUGUCUCCAUUUUUACCUUUUCCUUAGCUUUAUCCAGACGAGUUUUCUUUACGGGAUACUCAAUUUCCGUGGCAGUAUGAUCAAAGAUGACUACAUAGAAACUCGGAGAUGGGUUUUCAUAUUUGAACACAAGAAAGUAGCCACUUUUAACAGAAUAAAACCCUACAAGCUUUUCCCAACCAUAAUGUAACCAAACUCUUGUUCCAUUAUUACUCUUUGUCAACCCAACGUUCCAUUCUUUGCCAUCCCUCACUUUUAGACAUAUUUGAUCCUUUAACAAAGCUUUUAGGCCAUAUUCCCUCACAAACUUUCUUGGGAUUUCCUAAACAUAAAAAUGAAAGAAAAACAUUUGUAGAGUUUAACAUGCAUGGAAAGAGAUAAUUACAAAAGACAUAGAUACAUAUAUAGUAUAGCUUUUUGCUUACAAGUUUUUGUUCCUUGAGAGCAUCAUCAAGAACAACUUUAAAGAAAUGAGGAUUGUGUAACGCUCCACUAGAUUGUUUAACGAUGCUGUUUGAUCGGUAAUGAGAGGAAGAAGCCAUGAGUUCAAACUCAGCUUGCUGAAGAAAAGGUGUUGAAUAAUCCUGUUCUAUAUAUUGACUAAGAAAUGAACUUAAAAAAAAGUGUGGGUGCAUGCAAAUUAAUUAAAUAAACUAAUCUAUCUCUUAGUGUUUAAUUAGUUUGUUUAAUGGAAUAUCUUUAUUUGUUUGCUGUGAAUUUAUGCCAUGCGAAUAUCAAGAGAUUCGGUGAAGGCAAAAAAGGCUGACAAAAUCUUGUUUAUUAAAUGCUGAUUAGAAAGGAUAUUGAAGGAGUUAUUAAUGAUGUUGGUGUAAACCUUUUCUUCACUCUCAACACAUCUUUUUAAUCAACGAGUCUUCUUCUAUAAA
Long non-coding RNA from Cucumis sativus (cucumber), 1481 nucleotides. RefSeq lists it as uncharacterized. The record is from RefSeq and is a predicted model, not a curated record. Lineage: Eukaryota; Viridiplantae; Streptophyta; Magnoliopsida; Cucurbitales; Cucurbitaceae. The transcript is spliced from 3 exons.